UACGUAGGGGGCAAGCGUUGUCCGGAAUCAUUGGGCGUAAAGCGCGUGUAGGCGGCUCGAUAAGUCUGCUGUGAAAGUUCAGGGCUCAACCCUGAAAUGCCGGUGGAAACUGUCGAGCUAGAGUCCGGAAGAGGCGAGUGGAAUUCCUGGUGUAGCGGUGAAAUGCGUAGAGAUCCGGAGGAACACCAGUGGCGAAGGCGGCUCGCUGGGCUCUACCUGACGCUGAGGCGCGAAAGCGUGGGGAGCGAACCGG
This 253-nucleotide ribosomal RNA is filed under the name uncultured bacterium. RNAcentral's name for it is "partial 16S ribosomal RNA". It matches the Rfam family "Bacterial small subunit ribosomal RNA", at positions 524 to 776 of the family's 1533-position model. The record is from RNAcentral.